This 267-nucleotide ribosomal RNA is filed under the name uncultured bacterium. RNAcentral's name for it is "partial 16S ribosomal RNA". It matches the Rfam family "Bacterial small subunit ribosomal RNA", at positions 793 to 1055 of the family's 1533-position model. The record is from RNAcentral.
GUCCUAGCCCUAAACGGUGCGCGUUUGCUGUGGGAGGAAUCGACCCCUUCCGUGGCGAAGCUAACGCGAUAAACGCGCCGCCUGGGGAGUACGGUCGCAAGAUUAAAACUCAAAGAAAUUGACGGGGGCCUGCACAAGCGGUGGAGUAUGUGGCUUAAUUCGAUGCAACGCGAAGAACCUUACCUGGCCUUGACAUGCAUUUGGUAGAACCGUGAAAGCGGGACGACCCCGCAAGGGGAGGAUGCACAGGUGCUGCAUGGCUGUCGU